AGGAUAUCAUACUAUACUGUAAAUCAAUGCUGAACCAUUACAGUAUAUAUGAUGUGCUGC
RNAcentral lists this microRNA precursor (60 nucleotides) under Petromyzon marinus (sea lamprey). RNAcentral describes it as "Pma-Mir-144_pre stem-loop". Lineage: Eukaryota; Metazoa; Chordata; Hyperoartia; Petromyzontiformes; Petromyzontidae. The record is from RNAcentral.